Molecule: long non-coding RNA, 1345 nt
Filed under: Triticum aestivum (bread wheat)
Lineage: Eukaryota; Viridiplantae; Streptophyta; Magnoliopsida; Poales; Poaceae
Description: long non-coding RNA (TAES_LNC002059)
Source: RNAcentral
GUCGUCCACCUCUCCCCAAACCACCACCCCCGUGGAAGAAGCCCCAGCCACAUAACAGACUUGCCUCUCUGCCCUAUUUUCUCUCCCCUCGGGCGACGGCGGCGGGGUGCUGCCUGGCGAGAUGUCCACCAGACGCCGGGUAUGUGUAUCUCGUGCCCUCUUUUUUCCCUUAGGUCAUCGUGUGUUCCUAAUCCCUGUGCCGGAUUCGAAUAAAGUUGACUGACGGAGCUUGAUUUGUACAGGUUCGGGCUCUCCGGAGCACUCGUCCUCUUCCACUCCGGCGGCCAAAUCACCCGGAUCCCGCGUCACCUUCCACUUCGGCGGCGGCUCGACUCAAGUUUGCAGAACACCGGAUCUGCCCAGGGCAAGGCCCUCGUCUACGGAUCUGUCCGGGAAAAAAAAUCAUUUUCUUCAUUGUUUCGGUCGGUGAGGCUGGAUCACACAUCAAUUACUUGUGCUUUUCUCCUAGAGCUGUUGUUCGUCUGUUUUAGAUUUGCACUUUUUAGGAAAUUUUUAUUUUGUUCCAUCUAUUCCUUUGGUACGGGUGAUCUAACUGUAUGGCUCGAUCGAGAUGCAUAUCACUUCUGUUGUUGAAUCCAAAAAUAGACUGCUCUUUUUUUUAUUGUAAUCCCCUUCCAUCUAUUCCUUAUGUGCAGAUGCGAUUUUCUUUUGUUUGCUUGUAAUCUCCUUCGUCUGAACUAGAUAAGUCUCUCCUCAUCCUGUUGCUGCGCAGAUCCGAAUUUGCCGUGAUGUUUGUUUAGACAAUAUAGAGAUUUUUUUUGUUCAUAACCAUGCUUAUGUGCCAGAUCGGCUUAUUUUUUCUGAUGUCUUGAGGAUUCCUCUAACUUGGAUAAUCGAUGCUUAAUCCUGCUGGAACUUAAUGAUGGAUUUGAUGUUCUGUUCUUGAGCUAAUCCAAGGUUCAUAAUUAUUUCAUUCAACUGGGGUAAAGUUUGAAUUCCUACCACUGAUUGCAAAGAUUUUCUGUUCCAUGGAUUUCAGUUUGUUUCGUUGAACCCUUUUCCACCGGAGUCAUAGACUUGAGCAACACUGAAGAUCAAGUGUGCCAUGGCGGCAAGGCCGCAUCCCUUGCCGGAAAUGCUGGUUGAGCUACAAGUGGCUGGACCAGAAGGUAUUUUAGAUUAAAAUGUUCUCGUCCAAAAAACCUUUAAUUCUGAACAUAGUAUGUGUCGGCCUUGUUCUUUGUUAGAUUUUGAAUAUAACCACAUUUCUCUCCUGAAAUCAGUAUCAUACAAGAUCGAAUUUCGUGGCUUCCAUGUCCCUUGUGCGAGAAACAUUCUCUGGGUUACAUAUUUAGAAAAAAAUAUAUAUGAUGAUGCAUUUGUG